This 440-nucleotide ribosomal RNA is filed under the name uncultured bacterium. RNAcentral's name for it is "bacterial SSU rRNA". It matches the Rfam family "Bacterial small subunit ribosomal RNA", at positions 338 to 770 of the family's 1533-position model. The record is from RNAcentral.
CCUACGGGAGGCAGCAGUGGGGAAUUUUGGACAAUGGGGGCAACCCUGAUCCAGCCAUUCCGCGUGAGUGAAGAAGGCCUUCGGGUUGUAAAGCUCUUUCGCAAGGGAAGAAAACUUACCCUCUAAUAUAGGGUGAGGCUGACGGUACCUUGAUAAGAAGCACCGGCUAACUACGUGCCAGCAGCCGCGGUAAUACGUAGGGUGCGAGCGUUAAUCGGAAUUACUGGGCGUAAAGCGUGCGCAGGCGGUUUGAUAAGUCAGAUGUGAAAUCCCCGGGCUCAACCUGGGAACUGCGUUUGAAACUGUCAAGCUAGAGUAUGGGAGAGGGAGGUAGAAUUCCACGUGUAGCAGUGAAAUGCGUAGAGAUGUGGAGGAAUACCAAUGGCGAAGGCAGCCUCCUGGCCUAAUACUGACGCUCAUGCACGAAAGCGUGGGGAGCA